GACAGAGGGUGCAAACGUUGUUCGGAAUUACUGGGCGUAAAGCGUGUGUAGGCGGCCCGAUAAGUCGGAUGUGAAAGCCCUGGGCUCAACCCAGGAAGUGCAUUCGAAACUGCCGGGCUAGAGUAUCGGAGAGGUUGGUGGAAUUCUCGGUGUAGAGGUGAAAUUCGUAGAUAUCGAGAGGAACACCGGUGGCGAAGGCGGCCAACUGGACGAAUACUGACGCUGAGACACGAAAGCGUGGGGAGCAAACAGG
Molecule: ribosomal RNA, 253 nt
Filed under: uncultured bacterium
Lineage: Bacteria
Description: partial 16S ribosomal RNA
Rfam family: Bacterial small subunit ribosomal RNA
Source: RNAcentral